Molecule: ribosomal RNA, 460 nt
Filed under: uncultured bacterium
Lineage: Bacteria
Description: SSU rRNA
Rfam family: Bacterial small subunit ribosomal RNA
Source: RNAcentral
AGGAUGAAUGCUGGCGGCGCGCCUAACACAUGCAAGUCGAGCGGUAAGGCCCUUAGGGGUACACGAGCGGCGGACGGCUGAGUAACGCGUGGGAACAUGCCCCAAAGUGAGGAAUAACUGCCCGAAAGGGUAGCUAAUGCCGCAUAUGAUCUUAGGAUUAAAGGAUUUAUCCGCUUUGGGAGUGGCCUGCGUACGAUUAGAUAGUUGGUGAGGUAAAGGCUCACCAAGUCUACGAUCGUUAACUGUUCUGAGAGGAUGAUCAGUCAGACUGGAACUGAGACACGGUCCAGACUCCUACGGGAGCAGCAGUGAGGAAUCUUCCACAAUGGGCGAAAGCCUGAUGGAGCGACGCCGCGUGCAGGAUGAAGGCCUUAGGGUUGUAAACUGCUUUUAUAAGUGAAGAAUAUGACGGUAACUUAUGAAUAAGCACCGGCUAACUACGUGCCAGCAGCCGCGGUAA